CACGAGUGAGAAGCAGUCCAGACCCUGUGAUAGAUGGAGAAAAAGUGAUAUUAAGCUGUUCAACUGAAUGCACUCUGGAUAACAAACAUACUUACAUCUGGUAUAAGAAUGGACAACAGGUAACAGAUGGAUUGACAUUAUUAAACAAGCUGUACCUGGACUCAAUCAACAGUGAGGAGCUACAAGAGUAUUCCUGUACUGUAAGAGAGAUAUGACACACCCUGAACUUGUGGACUUCCUCAGAGUCGACACGUUGAUGACAUCAUGUAGUGCAGACUUUAGGGACCCUUGCACACAAGGGCACACCAGAGCCGUGUUUUGGAACAGACUCGAGCGUCAUGCCGAAAAUAAGAAGAGAAGUUGCCCAUCAGUGUGUCUGAUGUAAAUGAGCUUUUUUAUUAAUCUGUCACAGCUCCAGAUUGUCUGCCAGCCUUUAAGCUCAUUUACACCCUGCUUAUUUUUAGACCCACAUGAGUUGCAUUGGAAAGUCUGAAAGGAAGUUUUCAUCAGCUCAAUUUAAUACUUUUUAUAGGUUUUAAAUGAAUUACAUUCAUUUCUUAAUAGUUUCUCCAAAUACCAAUUUAGAAAAUAUAAAACAUAUGCAGAUUA
Misgurnus anguillicaudatus (oriental weatherfish) is the source of this 609-nucleotide non-coding RNA. Lineage: Eukaryota; Metazoa; Chordata; Actinopteri; Cypriniformes; Cobitidae. The record is from RefSeq and is a predicted model, not a curated record.